GGCCCGUGGCUCAAUGGUAGAGCGUUUGACUUAAAUACCAAAGGUCGCGGGUUCGAAUCCCAGGUGUGCCA
Molecule: non-coding RNA, 71 nt
Organism: Schistocephalus solidus
Lineage: Eukaryota; Metazoa; Platyhelminthes; Cestoda; Diphyllobothriidea; Diphyllobothriidae
Source: Rfam